RNAcentral lists this ribosomal RNA (162 nucleotides) under uncultured bacterium. RNAcentral's name for it is "partial 16S ribosomal RNA". It matches the Rfam family "Bacterial small subunit ribosomal RNA", at positions 355 to 509 of the family's 1533-position model. The record is from RNAcentral.
UAGGGAAUUUUCGUCAAUGGGCGCAAGCCUGAACGAGCAAUGCCGCGUGAGUGAGGAAGGUCUUCGGAUCGUAAAGUUCUGUUGAAGGGGAAAAAGAGCGGAGAGAGGAAAUGGUCUCCGAUUGAUAUUACCCUUCGAGGAAGUCACGGCUAACUACGUGCC